RNAcentral lists this transfer RNA (62 nucleotides) under Xibalbanus tulumensis. RNAcentral describes it as "tRNA-Glu". The record is from RNAcentral. Lineage: Eukaryota; Metazoa; Arthropoda; Remipedia; Nectiopoda; Speleonectidae.
UCUAUAUUAGUGUAAAGAACACAUUACAAUUUCAAAGUAAAGACAACAAACGUUAUAUAGAU